Molecule: ribosomal RNA, 516 nt
Filed under: uncultured bacterium
Lineage: Bacteria
Description: bacterial SSU rRNA
Rfam family: Bacterial small subunit ribosomal RNA
Source: RNAcentral
AGAGUUGAUUAUGGCUCAGGAUGAACGCUAGCGGCAGGCUUAACACAUGCAAGUCGAGGGGCAUCGCGGGGUAGCAAUACUCUGGCGGCGACCGGCGAAAGGGUGAGUAACGCGUGAGCAACAUGCCCGGUACUGGGGGAUAGUCAUUGGAAACGAUGCGUAAUACCCCGUAACAACAGAGACCGCAUGAUCUUUGUUUGAGAGAUUCAUUGAUACCGGAUUGGCUCGCGUACCAUUAGCUAGUUGGCGGGGUAACGGCCCACCAAGGCGACGAUGGUUAGGGGUUCUGAGAGGAAGGUCCCCCACAUUGGAACUGAGACACGGUCCAGACUCCUACGGGAGGCAGCAGUGAGGAAUAUUGGACAAUGGCCGGGAGGCUGAUCCAGCCAUGCCGCGUGCCGGGAGGACGGCCCUAUGGGUUGUAAACCGCUUUUGUCAGGGAGCAAUAAGGUCCACGUGUGGUCCGAUGAGAGUACCUGGCGAAUAAGCAUCGGCUAACUCCGUGCCAGCCGCCGC